UGGGGAAAUCAUCGUGCGCCACCUCGAGUGAGGGCAAGACGGAUGCCUCAGAGGGACCCUCUGGGUCCAGCACUGCGGACAAACAGCAGCCGGCCCGCACAACUGCGGCAGAUUGCGACGUGCCUGUUCAACAACUUCAGCGGGAGAUGUUCGCGGAUAUCAUGCGACAGGCUAAGACCACUGCCGAGUCAAUAAACGUCUUGUCGCAGCCAAGGACUCCGCACGAAAGAAUCGUUUACGCCUACUCAGCGCUACUGAGGGAGGAGAUGUUGCAGAUUCCCGAGUCACAAUGGCACAGCUACUGCUUGGAGGGUUUGGUCUUGACAAGGGCGCACAGACUUCUUCUGCCAAGUCCGAUGAGGCCCAUGCCACACCAAUAAAUUGGGAAUGAUGGCACCACAACAUGCUCCCCAGGCAAUGAUGGGAUCCUGGCCUAUGGCAUACCCCUGGAUGGCAGCACCGUCCUGUAUGGUAUGGCUGCCCAGCCUGCAGCUGUCCGUUUUUUUCAUUUUUCGUAUUUUUAGUUAGUUAAAGUUGUUUUGUUCUGGAGCUCUAGUCUUUUUUAUGUGGGGGAGGGGGAGGGGGAAACUACUUUUCAGGGUCCCCACCUUGUCGGGGAGGCUGCUUUUCUCCGACCCGCACCUCUGACCCGUCCUCGCGGGCCUGGAGCGGCGUCCCCGUCGGGACCGGCCAGAUCCUCGGCAUCAGCGGCGGCACAGCGCUGGAGCGCUAUUGCGGAGCGGGCGAUGCCUUGCCUGGGUCGCCACGCUGGGACUCCGGUGAGCUGAGACCGUCGAGAAAAACAUCGCAGAGCUGCGGGUCUGUGGAGCGGCCAGCUGCGGCGCUGAACUUUACAUCGGGAGCCUGGGAUCUCUCGCUGAGAUCACCAGUAGUGGAGCUCCACCCAGCGCGGCCUGUCGGCUUCGGAAGCCGCAGUCUCCAGUAAGGAGGCGGCCGUUCCAGGGUUCCCAAGCCGCUGAGAGGUUUCUCCCGACGCCGGAGCACCAUCACCCGGCGAGAACGGCCUGGAACAUCGGGCCUCCGUAAAAGCGACUGCAGAGGCCAAAAUAGGCCUAACUAUGGUUUGACAUGGGGAUGGGGACUGGACUUUGUGCUUUCCCUCAUAAUUGGAACCAUUAUGGGGGGAUGUUUUAUGUUUAAAUUUCUUUAUUAUUGUCAUGUCUGUAUUUUUUUUUAUGUGCUGCAUUGGCAACAAGCAUUUCACUACACCAAUUGGUGUAUGUGACUAAUAAAGUAACCUUUGAUGUCAGGGCAGCCAGCUCAACGCCACAUCAUGCGGCACCCGGCAUGGAUGCGAUCGGAGCAACAGAUCCCGGCGCGAUUGGAGGGUCCCGACACAAGCGCCAACUUCAGCCUGAAUCUUUCCGACUAUUUGAUGGAGGAUUGCCCAGUGCAAAUGGGCCGUAAAGAGUAAUGCCCUCUCCAACAUUCACUAUUAUGUUGAAUUGUGUUGCACAUUAAACAUUAGCCUCUUGUUUUUUAAUACGUUAUUUGUUUGUAUGCACUAAAUAAACAAAUUAAUUCUUAUAAAAUCAUGGGUGUUUAUGGGAAAUAACCUCACCCACAACUUGAUUAUUAAACUUCAGUGUAACC
This is a long non-coding RNA of Leucoraja erinaceus (little skate), 1614 nucleotides long. RefSeq lists it as uncharacterized. The record is from RefSeq and is a predicted model, not a curated record. The transcript has 4 exons. NCBI's taxonomy places the organism in Eukaryota, Metazoa, Chordata, Chondrichthyes, Rajiformes, Rajidae.